AGCAGCCGCGGUAAUUCCAGCUCCAAUAGCGUAUAUUAAAGUUGUUGCAGUUAAAAAGCUCGUAGUUGAAUUUCGAGACCGGUUUACUGGUCGUGCUUUUGUACGUACUGGUAUUAUUGGUUUCUCCUUUCUGACGAACUAUAAUGCCAUUAAUUUGGUGUUUUAGGGAAUCAGGACUGUUACUUUGAAAAAUUAGAGUGUUUAAAGCAGGCUCACGCUUGAAUACAUUAGCAUGGAAUAACGGAAUAGGACGUUUGAUUCUAUUUUGUUGGUUUCUAGGAUCGACGUAAUGAUUAAUAGGGAUAGUUGGGGGCAUUAGUAUUCAAUUGUCAGAGGUGAAAUUCUUGGAUUUAUUGAAGACUAACUACUGCGAAAGCAUUUGCCAAGGAUGUUUUCAUUAAUCAAGAACGAAAGUUAGGGGAUCGAAGACGAUCAGAUACCGUCGUAGUCUUAACCAUAAACUAUGCCGAUAGGGAUCGGAUGAUGUUAAU
RNAcentral lists this ribosomal RNA (491 nucleotides) under uncultured Glomus. RNAcentral describes it as "SSU rRNA". It matches the Rfam family "Eukaryotic small subunit ribosomal RNA", at positions 569 to 1067 of the family's 1831-position model. Lineage: Eukaryota; Fungi; Glomeromycota; Glomeromycetes; Glomerales; Glomeraceae. The record is from RNAcentral.